Molecule: RNA transcript, 1017 nt
Organism: Oncorhynchus kisutch (coho salmon)
Lineage: Eukaryota; Metazoa; Chordata; Actinopteri; Salmoniformes; Salmonidae
Gene: smim22
Gene name: small integral membrane protein 22
Exons: 5
Source: RefSeq, a predicted model, not a curated record
CCAGUCACAUCAUACAAGUUUCCUUUGAAAAGACAUGUUCAAGAGCAAUGGUGGAAAUGACUGGCAGUAUCUCUCACAUACGUGUACAGUGACUCCCACGGCGACAGGUGCGUCAGUCGGGCAGGUACCCGGAAGAAGAGAGAACAAAAAACUGGAGCUUGUUCGAGUUACAGCCCAGCUAUAGCCAUGGACCAGAGGAGCCUACAGGAAGAGUUUAAGGAUCAGUUUACAGACGUGGUGUCCAGACUGCAGUCUAAACAGCUGUUCCAGUCUGACUGGGACAUCGCCUCCUUCGCUGUCUUCUUCAUCUUCAUCGGCAUGGUUCUGCUGCUUGUUGUCCUGGUUCUGAUCCGAUGUUGCUGCUGCUGUUGCUGUGAUGAACAGCCGAGAAGACACAAAGUGGGUCAUGAAAACUUUGGAAUGGAGACCUGAAAGGAACUUGGAACAGGAUUGAAGAUUCCACAAUGACGACACUUAGAAAAUUGAUUAGUCCUUUUUAUAAUACAUUUUAUUCAUAUUUUUCCGAUGCACUUUAAAAUUUGCACUUUUAAUCUGUGUGCCAAACCAAGAGUUGUAUAACUUGUUUUCAUUCUGGUUCCAUCUAUUUACUUUUGACUGUUGGAAAAUGUUGCACUCCCUGUGGUAACCCGGUUUAGCUGCCGUCUAAUGUCAUUGGAGGUCAUAUGAAUCAGUUUGUUUACUUGUUCCCUGCACGGCUAGCGGUUGUUGCUAGGAUGCCAGAAAGGAGAGGAAGGUGAAAACAGUCACCGAGUGUCACAACCAGAAGAUAAAAGGGCUUUCACUAACAGUUCAUGAAAAAAACUAGGCACCAACUCUUUAUGUAGUGGAAUCAAAGCUGUGUACUUUAAACUUAACUUCUUAAGUGUAUGUAAUGAGGAAUGAUGUAGUAGUAUUGAUUCAAUGACUUUAAUGUAGUUAAUUAUAUUAACAAUAUAAUUCAAUGUUGAAACAUGUACAUUGUAUCAUUCAAAUGAUUAAAUCAUAUUUUGUAUUGAA